RNA transcript from Lycium barbarum (goji berry), 1262 nucleotides. RefSeq lists it as uncharacterized. The record is from RefSeq and is a predicted model, not a curated record. Lineage: Eukaryota; Viridiplantae; Streptophyta; Magnoliopsida; Solanales; Solanaceae. The transcript has 9 exons.
CUCAACUCUCCCUUUUGUUUCCCUUCUCUUUUUCAAAGCUCAAAAAUCUCCACUCCCGCGUAGAACCCCAUAAGCUUCAGAAUGGAGGACUCCAUAGCUAAAUUCUGCAAAAGCAUGGCCAUUUUCUGUAACAAUCUCCAAAACAGCUGCCACGCCCUCAAAGAGUCCGUCGAUCGUCGCCCCAUACCUCUUGAUUCAGCAUCGACGACCUUUGUGCAAAGCCUGAAUCAAAGAGUAUCUUCACUGAGCAGUGACCUCAAUGUGCUGGACUCCAUGUCUUCCGGACCUGUGUCGUUUGAGGAGUUGUCGGGACAUUGCAAUGAAGUGUUUAAGAAGAACCAAACUGAUCUUCUGUCCCUCCAGGACCGUCUCCAUAGUCUUGGCUACAUUUCUUCUGUCGAUCUUAUUGAUGAAGACAGUGGAGGAGAAGAAGAAGACGCGAAAGUUCGGGAAGAUUUAUCUGCUGACUGCAGCUUAGACUUCAAGAAAAUUGAAGAUGAUCCUUUGCUGGAUGAUUCUCUGAAUUUGCAGAACCUUGGUCUCUCUGAUGUUUGCCUAGCUACCAUAGCAUCUGAAGCUAAUACGAUAUAUGAGAAAGAGGGAUUCUAUCUAUCCACCGAGAAGAAACAGGAUGAUAGUGAUGGGAAAAUGAACGAUGAAUUAAACUCAUCUGAAGAUACUCAGUCAUUGAUAACGGUGUCAGAAGAUGAAUAUGAAAACCUCCCCAAACAUAUGAAGAUUUUAGCUUCAUGGCAGGAAUUAGUUGUUGCUGUUGAGAAGAUGAACUCAUUCCUCCACACGAAAAAUACUAGGCCAUACUCCUUCCAGCAAGCUGAAAUUGCGGAAAUAGGGUUAGGAGCAACUAAAAUAUGACGGGUUUGAAGACUGAAAACUACGGAAGCUUUGUGCCUUUUGUUCCCUAAAAUAUGUAGAAUUCUGUCAAAAUUAUGGAGUGUAGUUGAACAGCUUUGCUAGUUCAAUCCCUGGGCAUAAAGCUAGAUCUUAUCUGCUGCUGCUGAUCAGAAUGAGUCGAGUAAUAGUAGAGACAAGUGGUGGUUUGAUUUGUUAUAGUAUACAAUGAGUGCAGAGAUGAAACCCAUUGACAUUAACAUGUUAGCAAUAUUUAGCUGAAGUGUGUUUUUAAUGUUUUGGUCUUCUUGAGCACAAAAAUGUGAGGGCCUAACAAAAUUUGAUGCUGCAUUUAGUAUUGUAUUAUAAACUCAUUCAUUCGCAUUUUGAAAUGCUAGUGAAUGUUGGUAUUA